RNAcentral lists this ribosomal RNA (253 nucleotides) under uncultured bacterium. Its description in RNAcentral is "partial 16S ribosomal RNA". It matches the Rfam family "Bacterial small subunit ribosomal RNA", at positions 524 to 776 of the family's 1533-position model. The record is from RNAcentral.
UACGUAGGUGGCAAGCGUUGUCCGGAUUUAUUGGGUUUAAAGGGUGCGUAGGCGGUUCUAUAAGUCAGUGGUGAAAUCCGGCAGCUCAACUGUCGAUGUGCCAUUGAUACUGCAGAACUUGAGUACAGACGAGGUAGGCGGAAUUGACGGUGUAGCGGUGAAAUGCUUAGAUAUGACAUAGAACACCAAUUGCGAAGGCAGCUCGCUACACGAAUAUUGACACUGAGGCACGAAAGCGUGGGGAUCAAACAGG